GCCGGAUUAGCUCAGAGGCCAGAGCAACCGCCCCGUAAGCGGUAGGCCCUCGGUUCGACUCCGAGAUCCGGCA
Molecule: transfer RNA, 73 nt
Filed under: Acidithiobacillus ferrooxidans ATCC 23270
Lineage: Bacteria; Pseudomonadati; Pseudomonadota; Acidithiobacillia; Acidithiobacillales; Acidithiobacillaceae
Rfam family: tRNA
About the family: Transfer RNA (tRNA) molecules are approximately 80 nucleotides in length.
Source: Rfam by way of RNAcentral